GAUGAACGCUGGCGGCGUGCUUAACACAUGCGAGUCGAACGAAGCAUUUGCGACAGAUUUUUUCGGAAUGAAGUUGCUUAUGACUGAGUGGCGGACGGGUGAGUAACGCGUGGGUAACCUGCCUUGUACUGGGGGAUAGCAGCUGGAAACGGCUGGUAAUACCGCAUAAGCGCACAAUGUUGCAUGACAUGGUGUGAAAAACUCCGGUGGUAUAAGAUGGACCCGCGUCUGAUUAGCUAGUUGGUGAGAUAACAGCCCACCAAGGCGACGAUCAGUAGCCGACCUGAGAGGGUGACCGGCCACAUUGGGACUGAGACACGGCCCAGACUCCUACGGGAGGCAGCAGUGGGGAAUAUUGCACAAUGGAGGAAACUCUGAUGCAGCGACGCCGCGUGAGUGAAGAAGUAAUUCGUUAUGUAAAGCUCUAUCAGCAGGGAAGAUAGUGACGGUACCUGACGAAGAAGCUCCGGCUAAAUACGUG
RNAcentral lists this ribosomal RNA (481 nucleotides) under uncultured bacterium. Its description in RNAcentral is "partial 16S ribosomal RNA". It matches the Rfam family "Bacterial small subunit ribosomal RNA", at positions 28 to 507 of the family's 1533-position model. The record is from RNAcentral.